CACCAGUGCUCCACACAGGAUCCGAGUAGCUGAGACGUGAUCAGCCAGUGGGUUAGCCUCAGCGGGAAUCCUGGGAACGGGACAUCCAAGCCCUGAAAAACAUGGAGUUCACUUGCAUGUCUUUGGACUGUGGGAGACAACCAGAGCUCCCAGGGGAAACCCACACAGACACGGGAAGAACAUGCACACAAAAAAGGACUCGGACCACCCCACCUGGGAAUCAAACCCAGGAUCUUCUUGCUGUGAGGUGACAGUGCUACCCACCGAGCCACAGCCCCAUACGUGACUGCGGUCCAGUAGAUGGAGCCCACCAUGAUGCCAGCUGCAGCAAAUGGACAUGCUUUGGAGAUGAGCCUGUCUGCCAGAUCCAGCACAUACACAAUAGGUCCUGCACAG
Molecule: long non-coding RNA, 396 nt
Organism: Trichomycterus rosablanca
Lineage: Eukaryota; Metazoa; Chordata; Actinopteri; Siluriformes; Trichomycteridae
Exons: 3
Source: RefSeq, a predicted model, not a curated record